UAGCAAUUCGCCAAAGUCACACUCUUAAAGGACACGCUGAUUGGUUUAUUUCACAUUAUGUAAAAAAAACUAUAAAAUAUGUAAUAUACUGGUAUAUAUGUAAUAUACUUUUCCCGACGUUACGAUAGCAAAGACACACUGACGCCCUAAAUUAAGCUGCACUGUGCACAGUUGAUGACUUACCUACAGAUCGCUAAAAUAGUCUUUUACUGCAUUUUUAUGUACACUGUACUUGUUCUCUCUCUUUCUCAGCACUUUCUCACUCUGUUCUCUCUCUCUUUUUCAGCCCCCCUCUUUCUCGCUCAGUGAAAGUAUUUACCCUUGAGAAGGAAACUGAAAGCCUGAAGCAGAUGGUGCAGCCAAAUGUCUGCCCAGUGGCCUGUAAAGCGAAUUAAAGUGGAACUUCAGCGUUUGUUCUGCAGGAAGAAAGGGGAUGUACGUGGAGCUGCAGGUGAAGGCGGAGUGUAAGGCUGGAUUUUCUCAGAGUUUGUACACACUGCACCUCUCAGCGGAUCUGCUGCAAGACCCCACUGUCCACCUGCCCACAGCGUUUCCUGACCCCGGCGGUGGAUCGGUGACCUCGUGUCAGAUAAUCCGGUCUGAUAGUGAUCCGGUCGGUGACCUGGCCCAGACUCAGAAGAGAGGCGACGCUUUGAUCUCGAGCUUCAGGGCGUCUGAGUGAAUGAAGGCAGAACCUCACUAAUGUGCUGAAAUACGGCCGAGCUUCUGCAGCUGAGCAUGCUAAUACACCUCCCACCACGGCUUAUAAACCCUCACUACACUAUACUCACUAUACUCACUAUACACACUAUAAUAUACAACCAUUCACCACAUCACACUAACACUACACUCACUAAUGUGCUGAAAUACGGCCGAGCCUCUGCAGCUGAGCAUGCUAAUACACCUCCCACCACGGCU
RNAcentral lists this long non-coding RNA (918 nucleotides) under Astyanax mexicanus (Mexican tetra). Its description in RNAcentral is "lncRNA (ENSAMXG00005006297.1)". Lineage: Eukaryota; Metazoa; Chordata; Actinopteri; Characiformes; Acestrorhamphidae. The record is from RNAcentral.